Molecule: ribosomal RNA, 253 nt
Filed under: uncultured bacterium
Lineage: Bacteria
Description: partial 16S ribosomal RNA
Rfam family: Bacterial small subunit ribosomal RNA
Source: RNAcentral
UACGGGGGGGGCAAGCGUUGUUCGGAAUUACUGGGCGUAAAGGGCUCGUAGGCGGCCAACUAAGUCAUACGUGAAAUCCCUCGGCUUAACCGGGGAACUGCGUCUGAUACUGGAUGGCUUGAGCUCGGGAGAGGGAUGCGGAAUUCCAGGUGUAGCGGUGAAAUGCGUAGAUAUCUGGAGGAACACCGGUGGCGAAGGCGGCAUCCUGGACCGAUACUGACGCUGAGGAGCGAAAGCCAGGGGAGCAAACGGG